RNAcentral lists this transfer RNA (69 nucleotides) under Sphaerodactylus townsendi. Its description in RNAcentral is "tRNA-Thr". The stretch from base 5 to 61 matches the Rfam family "tRNA", at positions 8 to 63 of the family's 71-position model. From Rfam's summary of the family: Transfer RNA (tRNA) molecules are approximately 80 nucleotides in length. Their secondary structure includes four short double-helical elements and three loops (D, anti-codon, and T loops). The record is from RNAcentral. Lineage: Eukaryota; Metazoa; Chordata; Lepidosauria; Squamata; Sphaerodactylidae.
GCGGUAGCUCAGUGGUAGAGCCUCUGCUUGGUAUGCAGAAAGCCCCGGGUUCAAUACCCAGUAUCUCCU